GAUCGGAGCGCCCACCCGAGCCUUCCCCCCCACGGGCAAGGAAAGUGAAGUGGAAACAAUGUGAAAUUCACCAGCUCUGAAAUCAACAAGCUGCCGGCUCGGGAGCUACGGAGCCAACAGCGGCGUCCCCAUUUAAAGGGACAGCGCACCCGGUGGAGAGAAGAAAUAAAUACUCGAAGAGGUCUGCGCGCCCGGAUCGCUCGCCAGCGUGUGUUCCGCAGACGCGCGAGGUGCGGACGUGUUCUCUCCACACCUCCGCCGCCCCCACUGGGCUCGCCAAGCGCAUUCAAGGAUAAAAGAGUCUUCUCGGCGGCUUCUAAGGGCGUGUCCCCGCGAGGACGUCUGUCUGCGGGCGCGUUUGCAUCUCUACCCCGGGAACCCCGACACCUUUAGAUGGCGAAAGGAACCUACCUGCUUUAAGGAAUAUGAAACCGAUCUUCUCUUUUGGUAAAAAUGGCCAAGAAUGAUAGAAUUAAGCUUAUCAAAAUAGGUGCCCACCCUGCCCCGCAUACACUCCCAUUCACCUCCCCUAACGUACCCCUCCUUUGCCCUUUCCCUGGACAGUGUCCUAUCUGACUUAACAAACAACUUGAUGUAUAAAGAGUUAAUGAGAUCCGACCUUCUCUACCAGAAAGGGAAACCGAAGUGAGAGUGGGGGAGGGGAAACGAUGCAUUGCCUCAGGUUCCAGAAGAGAAUGUUGGAUGGAGAGAUAAAAUUUUCUUUGUGAUAGAAUUUGAGACUAUUUGCCAGAAGCUGGGUGGACCAGGAUAAGCCCAAGGCCUGGUUCCUCCAAGGGUGUUAGGUUUGUCAUAGACAGGGAAGUUGGGUCUAAGUCACAGUCCCUUACCAGGAUGGGAUUUCAAAGAUGGUGUUACUGUUUAUGUGAUACAAACAUUUUAGGAGGUGUGUUUACUUAGAAACACUUAUCCUCCUUAAUGCCCCAAAAGGCAACAUUUCUCUAUCCUAUACAGUUACUGAUUUGGAUCAGGCCCUUUUUAUUUUCUUAUCUGGGUUCUCAUAGCCAAAAGUACAAAUUGUUUUGUUACACCUGUGAGGAAGCCCAGACUCUGCCAUACCUACUGUAAAAUAGUAGUAAUGCCUCUCAUUGGCUGUUUUGAGAAUUAUAUGAAAUAAGUCAUAUCAAGCACUUGGUGUGCAGAAUGAUAUAACAAACACUCCGUACAAGUUAACUACAUCAACUUCUACAAUUGUUAUCAAUUUAAUUCUUCCCCUUCUCCACAAUCUAUUCUCCACAUUGUUGUCACCGAUUUUUACACAACACAGAUCUGGCCACUGACUUCCCCUGGAAUCUGUUUCAACUCCACUCCUAACUACACUGAAGCCAGUUUUCCACCUGGGCCCUUGCUCAAGCUGGUGGCCAACCUUCCUUCCUUGGAAGCCCCCUGGAACCUUUACAGAAGCGUUCAUAGGAGACUGAUGAAUUUUGACCUUGCCUUAUCAUUGUUAAUGCAAGAUCCAGAUUGGGAGGUUCUUAAGAAGGAGGGGUACACCUUGCUCACAUUAUUUCCCACAGCACUUGGCCCUGCAUAAAGGCCCUCUGAUUAUUGAGUCAAGUCAUGGGUGAAGAACUGCAGCAUAAUCAGUUGAUUUCUUUUGCUUUUGAUUUCUUUCUUUUUAAAACAAACUUUCUCACCCAGUCAACCCUAAAGAAGGAAGAUAUGUGCCCAGAAGGAAAGAGAUGAAAGGAAGAAUGAAGAGAAAGACAAUUACUGAAAGAUGUUCAAGAAUGUCUGAACUUUGUUUAAAAAAUAAUGCAUACAUCCAGAGUUUUGAAGAAUGCCUGAACAGUCCACCGUCUACGGAAGUACUAAGGACAAGAUUUUUAUCCCUGUUCAGAUACUAGAAUCUCUCCUAAAAUAGAGUGAACAACCUCAGGGAUGAUCAUCAGGAGCUCAAUCCCAGAGUACGAAGACUCCAAAGUCACUUUCAGGGACAUGGGGUGUGUUCCAAAUGGAGAGAAUACAUGAGGAAUUUGAGAAGCUGGAAGAAGGCCAGUUCAUCUGGAAUAGGGAAGGGAGGGGAAGAAUGGCAAGGAAUGAAACUAGAGAUGGAGGAGAGCCAGAUUGUGAUUAAGAUG
Long non-coding RNA from Heterocephalus glaber (naked mole-rat), 2099 nucleotides. The record is from Ensembl. NCBI's taxonomy places the organism in Eukaryota, Metazoa, Chordata, Mammalia, Rodentia, Bathyergidae.